RNAcentral lists this long non-coding RNA (400 nucleotides) under Mytilus galloprovincialis (Mediterranean mussel). Lineage: Eukaryota; Metazoa; Mollusca; Bivalvia; Mytilida; Mytilidae. The record is from RNAcentral.
GCAUAAUUGUCCAAAAAAUUACUGCCCAAAUUCUAACUCGGCCUAAGUUUGUGUGAUUAUUAACAUUGUGUGUGAAUUUCAAUAAUUUUGGAUAAGACAAAUUAACGACAGAGUGCGGAAACCAAACUAAAUGCAUUAAUAUAACUUGUGACCCGUUAUCACUGAAUUGUUGGGACAAAAACCACUGAAUUCAACACGCCAUUAGUGAUAAUAAUCCUUGUGUUAAAAUGUAAUACAAACGACUCAUACAAAAUACAAAGUUAUGGCAUUAAAACAAGUGACUAUAGAUGAAGACAACAGCGCCAUACCAUCAUACAUGCCAAAAUAGUAUUGCAUUCAUAUGAAAAUGAUUUCAAAAGUUGCUUAAUUGAACAACAUACAUCAUUAAGAAAUUCUUAAU